UUAAAAGGAAUUAGUAUUAAAACACGUCCUUGAGCUCUUGAAAGUGCUGUCUGUGGCCCUGGGUAGGUGCCCAAGGAAGAAGUCAGUGCAUUUGUCAGAUGGGAACACACGCAGCACAGGAGAUGAUGACCCCUGCCCUCCUAUGACGUGUGCCCUCCUACGACGUGUUGACAUGCAGGUGGUGGUUUUGUGUCACAAAGGGAAGGCGUAGCUCAUCAGCUAAAACCCCACUGUGGCACAGAAAGCCCUCCAUCCACUGCUCUGUAGUAUUUAUGGGUCAGAAACCUUAAACACAGAGGUGUUAAACUUCUCCAAGACCCCACAACUAGUCAGUAGAAGAAUUGAAGACUAGAACUUACAAGUCGGGACCCACUAUGGACUGAGUGUCGGCGUCCCCCCGAAAUGCCAUUUGUUGAAACCUAAUCCCAAGGGGAUGAAGUUAGGAGGCAGGACGUCCUCUGGAAGGUGAUGAGGUUAUGAGGCUGGAGCCCCCUUGAUGGCAUUCGUGUCCUUACAAGAGAGACCCCAGGGAGUCCUCAGCCCCUUCCACCUUGUAAGGACACAGCAAGAAGAUGUCAUCUGUGAACCAGGCAGCAGCUGUCACUAGACCCUGAAUCUGCCGGCGCCUGGAUCUUUGGACUUCCGGUGAGCAUCUGAGAUCUGCCUUCAGCCUGGUGUUUGAGACUCCCUUCCUCCUGUUCCAGAUGCUCUACUAGCCAAAUUCCCCACCUUUUCAGAACACAACCAUGUGCACAGCACCAAGCGCUGCAUACUGGGCCCUGGGAGGAGGACGAGGACAUAAAACCACACAAGACAUAGACUUGAGUUUCAAGGAACUCCCAGCCCUCCAUGGCCUUCGCUCCCGUCAGCUUCAGUGUGUGACGUUUGCAGUUCGUGCAGCACAAGCCUCGAGGAGGGAAAGAGCUGGUCUCGCAUUUUCCUGCAGUCACCGAUCCCCUGGCGUGUCCAUGUGCAAUGUAGGCUGUGCAUAAAAUAAAUACCAGUGGCACAUAAGAGACGAGAGGAGGUCUGGACUGGAGCUGUUGAAGACUUCAAGAAGGUGGAAUGUCCGCUGGGGUGCAGACUGAUUCCUGAAUGCCAGGGGGAUUUGGAAGCUCACACAGACCCAAGAAAGAAGACCUGUCUUGCCUUCAUAUUUCCCCCUCCUUGGAGAUUCACACAGCCAAGUAGAUAUAUACCAUCUUGUUUCGCCUGUAAACACCUGGUCUUCUCGGAAAGCCUAUGAGGAGGUCAUGUUACCUUCAGCACACGGCUGAGAAACAGAGUAGACAAAGGAAGAGAUGGGCCCACUCACAUAGCUGGUAUGCACCUCAAGUCCCUAGGGGUGUGUGCCCCCCGCUGGUGGGAGCCAUUGUACUGCUUCCUUUCCCCACCCCCCACCCCCACCCUGGACACAUGGUUUCCAUCCACGGUUUCUUUUUUGGGCUCAUUGAAGGUGUUGGGAUAGAUGAUCUCAGCUAUGCAUUUCUUUCUUCCUCUUCGUUGCCUUUCCAAAAAGAAUAAUGAGGGGAGGGGUGCGGUAUAAGGGUUGGGGACAAAAAAGAGAGGUAUGGGCAAUCGUGGUUGGGAGAAAGGAAGAUUUGUUUCUUCUCAAAUCACUUGAGAUGAUAAAAGAAGGUAAGAAUCUUGGGGCUCAGAGGGGCAGUGCUUGCUUUUUCCUUAUGGACAGUCCACUUACGACAAAAGUUCUGGGAGUCAGCCCUCAAGAGAAAUGAAAUCACAAGACAUAAGGGUCAACAUGGCCACAUCUCAUAGUAUAGCACAGGUAUUUAAAAUAAUUAUGACAUUUCCUUCUGAUUAAAAAAAAAAAAAAAAGAUCUACCAGAAUCCUUGUAGGUGGUGAUACGAAACUAUUACUGUUUGAAUGAUCCACUACAGUUGUUUCCGUAUUUAAAUAAUCAUAAUAUUUCCAUAAAACUGGCUCGAAAGUAUUUUCCUGGAGUAUUAGUUUGGUUCGUUUGCCAUAUCUAUAAAGAAUACAUUUAUCUAUGUUUUUUUCAUUUAGAUGAAUUUUUGGAAAAGUUUACUGCGAUAAUUUUAUUGCCUGGCACUGUCUUGGGAAAGCAAUCCUUGUCCAGUACUUGAGAACAAACUGUUAGGCACAGUGCAUGAUUAUACUCACUCAGAUUCUUUACCUAAACCCUAUUUUACAAUUUGCAUACUAAAAUUUGUGUACUGCUAGUAUGAUGAAAGAAAACAAGCAAAGUACUUCAUUUACAGAACGUAUUUCUUUUUUUUUUUAAUUUUUUCAUGCUUAUUUAUGUUUUUUUAAAUGUGUAUUUAUUUUUGAGACAGAGCACAAGUGAGG
This is a long non-coding RNA of Felis catus (domestic cat), 2329 nucleotides long. RefSeq lists it as uncharacterized. Lineage: Eukaryota; Metazoa; Chordata; Mammalia; Carnivora; Felidae. The transcript has 3 exons. The record is from RefSeq and is a predicted model, not a curated record.